GCCUACGGGGCGCAGCAGUGAGGAAUAUUGGUCAAUGGCCGAGAGGCUGAACCAGCCAAGUCGCGUGAGGGAAGACGGCCCUACGGGUUGUAAACCUCUUUUGUCGGGGAGCAAAGAGAGCCACGUGUGACUCAUUGAGAGUACCCGAAGAAAAAGCAUCGGCUAACUCCGUGCCAGCAGCCGCGGCAAUACGGAGGAUGCGAGCGUUAUCCGGAUUUAUUGGGUUUAAAGGGUGCGUAGGCGGCGGUGCAAGUCAGCGGUGAAAUUGCGGGGCUCAACC
RNAcentral lists this ribosomal RNA (280 nucleotides) under uncultured bacterium. RNAcentral describes it as "partial 16S ribosomal RNA". It matches the Rfam family "Bacterial small subunit ribosomal RNA", at positions 337 to 614 of the family's 1533-position model. The record is from RNAcentral.